Molecule: non-coding RNA, 530 nt
Organism: Conger conger (European conger)
Lineage: Eukaryota; Metazoa; Chordata; Actinopteri; Anguilliformes; Congridae
Source: the annotation of a RefSeq genome assembly
CAAAAGUGGAUAUGGACAGGUCAAAGAGGGGGAGAACAGAGAAUUUCCAUGAGGGGGAAAUUAAAAGACCAGUACCACCGCCACGGCCGGAAGGCCGGGGAGUGUGCGAGAAGGAGAAGGAGGAUGAGAGGGCAGCGGGAGUGGCGGUGUUGUCAGGUGUUCAGUGUGAGAUUGUCCUGACAGAAUCUGAAGCGGUGGUAAAGAGACCUGGAGACUCUCACACACUGAACUGUACAGCCUCUGGGUUCACAUUCAGCAGCUACUGGAUGGGCUGGAGCAGACAGGCUCCUGGCAGGGGACUGGAGUGGUUGGGAUAUCAGCAUAGCAGCACUAGAUAUUAUGCCCUGUCUGUUCAAGGAAGAUUCACCAUCUCCAGAGACGACUCCAACAGCAAGCUGUAUUUACAGAUGAACAGCCUGACAGCUGAAGACACUGCUGUGUAUUAUUGUGCACCUGUGAGUUCCCUGUGCUGCUGCUUCUACACUGGAGUGAGUGUGAUCAGCAGUGGCCCUCACUCUGCCCUCCCCUAG